UACGAAGGGGGCUAGCGUUGUUCGGAUUUACUGGGCGUAAAGCGCACGUAGGCGGAUCGUUAAGUCGGGGGUGAAAUCCUGGAGCUCAACUCCAGAACUGCCUUCGAUACUGGCGAUCUAGAGUCCGGAAGAGGUGAGUGGAACUCCUAGUGUAGAGGUGGAAUUCGUAGAUAUUAGGAAGAACACCAGUGGCGAAGGCGGCUCACUGGCCCGGUACUGACGCUGAUGUGCGAAAGCGUGGGGAGCAAACAGG
This 253-nucleotide ribosomal RNA is filed under the name uncultured bacterium. Its description in RNAcentral is "partial 16S ribosomal RNA". It matches the Rfam family "Bacterial small subunit ribosomal RNA", at positions 524 to 776 of the family's 1533-position model. The record is from RNAcentral.